This 502-nucleotide ribosomal RNA is filed under the name uncultured bacterium. Its description in RNAcentral is "partial 16S ribosomal RNA". It matches the Rfam family "Bacterial small subunit ribosomal RNA", at positions 29 to 507 of the family's 1533-position model. The record is from RNAcentral.
AGCGAACGCUGGCGGCGAGCCUAACACAUGCAAGUCGAACGUGAAAGGGAGCAAUCCCAAGUAAAGUGGCGUACGGGUGAGUAACACGUAGGUAAUCUACCCCAGAAUCUGGAAUAACCGGCCGAAAGGCUGGCUAAUACUGGAUAGAGCGACGGAAUCCGUAAUUGGGUUUUUCGGGAAAGGGAGCCUGUAAAAAGGCCUUCGUUCUGGGAUGAGCCUGCGUCCCAUCAGCUAGUUGGUGAGGUAAAAGCUUACCAAGGCAAUGACGGGUAGCUGGUCUGAGAGGACGAUCAGCCACACUGGAACUGAAACACGGUCCAGACUCCUACGGGAGGCAGCAGUGGGGAAUCUUGCGCAAUGGACGAAAGUCUGACGCAGCAACGCCGCGUGAGUGAAGAAGGCCUUCGGGUUGUAAAGCUCUGUCGAGUGGGACGAAAAUGCUUGGAGUUCACAGCUCCAGGAACUGACGGUACCACUAAAGGAAGCACCGGCUAACUCCGUG